RNAcentral lists this ribosomal RNA (253 nucleotides) under uncultured bacterium. RNAcentral's name for it is "partial 16S ribosomal RNA". It matches the Rfam family "Bacterial small subunit ribosomal RNA", at positions 524 to 776 of the family's 1533-position model. The record is from RNAcentral.
UACGGGGGGGGCAAGCGUUGUUCGGAAUUACUGGGCGUAAAGGGCUCGUAGGCGGCCAACUAAGUCAGACGUGAAAUCCCUCGGCUUAACCGGGGAACUGCAUCUGAUACUGGAUGGCUUGAGUUCGGGAGAGGGAUGCGGAAUUCCAGGUGUAGCGGUGAAAUGCGUAGAUAUCUGGAGGAACACCGGUGGCGAAGGCGGCUCACUGGCCCGGUACUGACGCUCAUGUGCGAAAGCGUGGGGAGCAAACAGG